RNAcentral lists this ribosomal RNA (474 nucleotides) under uncultured bacterium. RNAcentral describes it as "bacterial SSU rRNA". It matches the Rfam family "Bacterial small subunit ribosomal RNA", at positions 8 to 526 of the family's 1533-position model. The record is from RNAcentral.
AGAGUUUGAUCAUGGCUCAGGAUGAACGCUGGCGGUCUGCUUAACACAUGCAAGUCGAACGGGAUCUUCGGAUCUAGUGGCGGACGGGUGAGUAACGCGUGAGAAUCUGCCUUUUGGACCGGGACAACAGUUGGAAACGACUGCUAACACCGGAUGUGCCUACGGGUGAAAUAUUAAUAGCCAGAAGAUGAGCUCGCGUCUGAUUAGCUAGUUGGAGUGGUAACGGCACACCAAGGCGACGAUCAGUAGCUGGUCUGAGAGGAUGAUCAGCCACACUGGGACUGAGACACGGCCCAGACUCCUACGGGAGGCAGCAGUGGGGAAUUUUCCGCAAUGGGCGCAAGCCUGACGGAGCAAGACCGCGUGGGGGACGAAGGUUUGUGGAUUGUAAACCCCUUUUGUCAGGGAAGAACACAAUGACGGUACCUGACGAAUCAGCCUCGGCUAACUCCGUGCCAGCCGCCGCGGUAAUUC